This 393-nucleotide unclassified non-coding RNA is filed under the name Hevea brasiliensis (rubber tree). Lineage: Eukaryota; Viridiplantae; Streptophyta; Magnoliopsida; Malpighiales; Euphorbiaceae. The record is from RNAcentral.
GAACUGAUGCAGAACAUCCCAACUUAACCACCGAGCCCUUUAUGUAUGUGUCCUACUGCUAAUGAAACCAAUGUGUUAUCGGAACCCUGUAGGUAUCUAUGUACUCUAAUCCCCUCAACCCCAACCCACCCCAGUCCAUCCAAAAUAAAGGGGAAAAGGAUCCUCUGUUUUAAGUUGUAAGAGUAAAAAGACAUUAUUCUUGUCUAGACAAACAUGCAAGUGAUGCUCAAGCAAACUGCAUACCCUUUUUAGAUUGCAUAUAUGGGGCACAAUGUGAUUUUCCAUUGAAAGAAUUUUACUUUUUGAGCAUUUUUUUUUUUUAAUUUUGGAAAUAGAAUAGGAUUAAUGGUUAUGCUUAGUGGUUCCACUAAAUGUUGUGUCACUUGUGCUGUG